UAGGGAAUCUUCCGCAAUGGACGCAAGUCUGACGGAGCAACGCCGCGUGAGUGAAGAAGGAUUUCGGUUCGUAAAACUCUGUUGUUAGAGAAGAACAGCGCAUAGAGUAACUGUUAUGCGUGUGACGGUAUCUAACCAGAAAGCCACGGCUAACUACGUGCCAGCAGCCGCGGUAAUACGUAGGUGGCAAGCGUUGUCCGGAUUUAUUGGGCGUAAAGCGAGCGCAGGCGGUUAGAAAAGUCUGAAGUGAAAGGCAGUGGCUCAACCAUUGUAGGCUUUGGAAACUGUUUAACUUGAGUGCAGAAGGGGAGAGUGGAAUUCCAUGUGUAGCGGUGAAACGCGUAGAUAUAUGGAGGAACACCGGUGGCGAAAGCGGCUCUCUGGUCUGUAACUGACGCUGAGGCUCGAAAGCGUGGGGAGCGAACAGG
Molecule: ribosomal RNA, 428 nt
Filed under: Bacteroidota bacterium
Lineage: Bacteria; Pseudomonadati; Bacteroidota
Description: Bacteroidetes bacterium partial 16S ribosomal RNA
Rfam family: Bacterial small subunit ribosomal RNA
Source: RNAcentral